This 71-nucleotide transfer RNA is filed under the name Aspergillus niger. RNAcentral describes it as "tRNA-Trp". It matches the Rfam family "tRNA". Rfam says of the family: Transfer RNA (tRNA) molecules are approximately 80 nucleotides in length. Lineage: Eukaryota; Fungi; Ascomycota; Eurotiomycetes; Eurotiales; Aspergillaceae. RNAcentral also lists the same sequence under 2 other names. The record is from RNAcentral.
GGGCCUAUAGCAAUUGGUAGCGCGUACGACUCCAGAUCGUAAGGUUGUCCGAUCGAGCCGGGCUGGGCUCA